Molecule: ribosomal RNA, 450 nt
Filed under: uncultured bacterium
Lineage: Bacteria
Description: partial 16S ribosomal RNA
Rfam family: Bacterial small subunit ribosomal RNA
Source: RNAcentral
GUGGGGAAUUUUGGACAAUGGGCGCAAGCCUGAUCCAGCAAUGCCGCGUGCAGGAAGAAGGCCUUCGGGUUGUAAACUGCUUUUGUACGGAACGAAACGGUCCGGGUUAAUACCCUGGGCUAAUGACGGUACCGUAAGAAUAAGCACCGGCUAACUACGUGCCAGCAGCCGCGGUAAUACGUAGGGUGCAAGCGUUAAUCGGAAUUACUGGGCGUAAAGCGUGCGCAGGCGGUUUUGUAAGACAGGCGUGAAAUCCCCGGGCUCAACCUGGGAAUUGCGCUUGUGACUGCAAGGCUGGAGUGCGGCAGAGGGGGAUGGAAUUCCGCGUGUAGCAGUGAAAUGCGUAGAUAUGCGGAGGAACACCGAUAGCGAAGGCAAUCCCCUGGGCCUGCACUGACGCUCAUGCACGAAAGCGUGGGGAGCAAACAGGAUUAGAAACCCGAGUAGUCC